RNAcentral lists this ribosomal RNA (397 nucleotides) under uncultured bacterium. RNAcentral's name for it is "partial 16S ribosomal RNA". It matches the Rfam family "Bacterial small subunit ribosomal RNA", at positions 523 to 918 of the family's 1533-position model. The record is from RNAcentral.
AUACGUAGGGGGCGAGCGUUGUCCGGAAUGAUUGGGCGUAAAGGGCGCGUAGGCGGCCCGGUAAGUCUGGAGUGAAAGUCCUGCUUUUAAGGUGGGAAUUGCUUUGGAUACUGUCGGGCUUGAGUGCAGGAGAGGUAAGUGGAAUUCCCAGUGUAGCGGUGAAAUGCGUAGAGAUUGGGAGGAACACCAGUGGCGAAGGCGGCUUACUGGACUGUAACUGACGCUGAGGCGCGAAAGGGUGGGGAGCAAACAGGAUUAGAUACCCUGGUAGUCCACACUGUAAACGAUGAAUGCUAGGUGUAGGGGGUAUCGACCCCUUCUGUGCCGCAGUUAACACAAUAAGCAUUCCGCCUGGGGAGUACGGCCGCAAGGUUGAAACUCAAAUGAAUUGGCGGGG